AGUACCCACCACACACUGGGGAGCCCCCUCUACUAGAAGCAGGGAGCAGCGUUGGACUUUUGGUACAGAGGCACUGGUAAGCGAUUACAGUAUGUCUGUAAUCGCUUACACAGGCACAUAAGUCACAAAGUCUCUCUUCCUCACACACGCACUUGGAUAAGAAACCUCACAUACCCCUAACCAGUUGUUGGUCCUAAAAAAAACCAGUAAUCUCAAAAUGAUAACUUAAAUUCUAACCAAGUCAGUACCCAC
Molecule: long non-coding RNA, 252 nt
Filed under: Vigna radiata
Lineage: Eukaryota; Viridiplantae; Streptophyta; Magnoliopsida; Fabales; Fabaceae
Description: long non-coding RNA (VRAD_LNC014357)
Source: RNAcentral